AUGACGUGGAAUGAGCUGGAAUGCCUCUCCAGAUGCUCCAAGGUCGGCCUCCAGCCACCUCCUCCAGAGCCACAGCCUCCUCCCAUCGCGAUGGGUCCCGGGCCCUUCCCGAUGGCUGCUGGGCAUGGAGAAAGUGGAGUGACCCCCGCUUCCCGCCGCCUGGAAAAUGCAGAGAACGGGGGUUCUGAAGUGGGUGUGGGAGAAGCAGGCUUCACUCUGGACAGGUCACACGCGGCAUGGCCUUGGCGCAGCUCAGUGGGAGCACUGGGCUGGCUCGGGCUGUUUGCACCUGGAGCUCAGGGACGUUCCAGACUGGAUGAAGGUGGGGCUGCUCGACUGAGGGCUGUGUGAGGUGAGGCCGGCCGCUGAGAGGUGGCAGGGAUGGCGCAGGCUGGUGCCACUUCUCAGAGUCCACGUCGUUACUCUCCAGUGACUGCCUUGUGGCUGCUGCAACAAAGGGCUGCAAACGGGUGGCCUUAGGACAAGACAAAUGCAUUCACUUAUGGCUGCGGAGGCCAGAGGGUCACAGCAAGGUGCCGGCGGCCCGCGCUCCCUCAAGGGCUCCGGGGAGCAGCCUUCUCGCUUCCCCAGCGUCUCACACCCAGGGGUCCUUGGCUGGUGGCCGCAUCCACCCAUCUCUGCCUCAGUCCUCACAUCGCCUUCUCUGUUAUUUGAGUCUGCAAAUCUGCACCUCUCUUCUCUAAGCAUGCUUGUGACUGGACUGAGGCCCCAGCCUGAUGAUCUGGGAUAGUCGCUCCAUGUCAGGGUCCUUCAUCACGUCUCCAGAGAACUUCCUCCUCGUGAGGUCAAUCGCAGCUUCUCACAGUUUUCUCCACACACGGAGGCCUGGGGAGACAGUAUGGAGAACAGAGAGCUCGAGUUUGCAGUCAGAGCUGCACUUGGAACUGAGUGCCUGGGCUGAUGGAUCUGGUCUGGGAGUGCUGGUUAUUUGCCCGAGGCCCGUCUCCGGGCUGCCGGGGCCUCAGUUGACUCAUCCACGCGGGUGAUGACCUUGCCCGUGUCCGUGUCCUCGGCUUGCUCAGAGCUUUAUGAGCACACAUGUCAGGUUCGUGGUUGGGAGCUCGACACACACAGGCCUGGACAGAUCUGAGCCCCGGGCACGCAAGGCCCCCCUUAGAGGUGCCCUGGCUCGUUUAGCCGUAUCUCAGGCCGGGGCUCUUCUGGGAGGGACCGGCAUGGAGAAGGAGAACCAUGGUGUCUAGGUGACCUCCAGCGCUGUGGCAGGGCUGCGCUGGGAGAGGGAGGAGGCGGAGAGCCAGGCCAGGCUGGGCCAGGAGGCUGCGGGGGGAAGAGGGCCCGCAGGCUCCAGCACUAAUGAGCCUUCGCUGCC
This 1351-nucleotide long non-coding RNA is filed under the name Bos indicus x Bos taurus (hybrid cattle). RNAcentral describes it as "lncRNA (ENSBIXG00000023589.1)". The record is from RNAcentral. Lineage: Eukaryota; Metazoa; Chordata; Mammalia; Artiodactyla; Bovidae.